UCCUGGAGGUUUCCCACGCCAAAAGUGAACUUAGCAUCCCCUCCUCCCUAUGUUAGAUUAAUGAAGAGAGAUCAAAUAUCCCGCCACAGUCACCAGCUGCUGCCGCCCCUCCACCGUAAACACCAAACAGCAGUGGAUCACGACGCGUCGACCCCGCGGCAAAUGGCGGGGCAUGUGUGUCGCUUUUUCACCAAAAUUAAAGAGUUAAUUAUCUGGAGUUGGAGCUAUCUCUGGGCCCUUUGGUUUCUUUUAGUUAUAUCUGUUAUCUACUACCUUCGAGGGCCGCUCAAAAUCACAGACAAUAUCGGAAUGGCCACGGUGUUUCUGUCGACACUCACACCCAAAUUCUACGUGGCCCUGACAGGAACCUCAUCACUCAUAUCUGGACUUAUUUUGAUAUUUGAAUGGUGGUACUUUAGAAAAUAUGGCACUUCAUUUAUUGAACAAGUUUCCCUCAACCACCUUAGUCCGUGGAUUGGUGGGGGAGAAAACAACACGGCAGAGAGCACCACCACCAACUCCAACAACAACAAUAACCAGCAGAGUGUGCCAGAAUGUAAAGUUUGGCGCAAUCCUCUCAACCUUUUUCGUGGAUCGGAGUACCAGAGGUUAACAUGGUCAACCAAGAAGGAGCCAUUGACCUACUAUGAUAUGAAUUUAUCUGCACAGGACCACCAAACCUUUUUCACCUGUGAAGCUGAUGCUGGCAAACCUGAAUAUGAAAUAAUGCAGACGGCGUGGAGGGAAAGAAACCCAGAAGUGCGAAUUAAAUCAGCGCGUUCUGCCUUAGAUCUCAACCCAGAGUGUGCCUCAGCAUACAUUCUCCUAGCAGAAGAAGAAUGUACCUCCAUUAUUGAAGUGGAGAAGAAGCUGAAAAUAGCCCUUAAACAUGCAGAGACAAACUAUCGAAGGUCUCAGAUCACGCAACAUCAGAGUGGUACCAUGGAAGCUCUACACAGACGAGACACAAAUGUGUUCAUAUAUAUAAAAAGACGGCUGGCUAUGUGUGCACGCAAGUUAGGCAAGAUGAAGGAAGCAAUAAAGAUGUUCAGAGAUUUAACGAAGGAAGUUCCUCCAAUCAUGAAUGUUCUAAACCUCCAUGAAAACCUUCUGGAGGCGCUGCUAGAAGUAGGCGCCUAUGCUGAUGCGCAAGCAGUCCUUGCUAAAUAUGAUGACAUAGCACUUCCAAAAUCUGCUACAAUAUGUUACACAGCAGCACUUUUGAAAGCGCGGACAGUAGCAGAUAAAUUUUCUCCAGAUAUAGCCAGUAAACGUGGCCUCACAGCAGCAGAAAUGGCAGCAGUUGAAGCGAUUCAUCGGGCUGUAGAAUUCAAUCCACAUGUUCCAAAGUAUCUUCUGGAGAUGAAGCCCCUCAUUCUCCCACCAGAACAUAUUCUUAAACGAGGGGACUCAGAAGCUAUUGCAUAUGCUUUUUUUCACCUCCCACAUUGGAAAAGGGUGGAAGGGGCACUGAACCUCCUUCACUGCACCUGGGAGGGUACAUUCCGAAUCAUUCCAUAUCCUCUUGAAAAAGGUCACCUUUUCUACCCCUACCCAACGUGUACAGAGUGUGCUGACCGGGAGCUUUUACCAUCGUUCCAUGAAGUGUCAGUGUACCCAAAGAAGGAGUUACCAUUCUUCAUUGUGUUCACAGCUGGGCUCUGUUCAUUCACUGCUCUCCUUGCACUUCUCACCCACCAGUAUCCUGAACCCAUGGGGGCCCUGGCCAAGACGGUCAGUUAUCAAGAGUACAGCUCCUGAGUUGGUGGUAUGUUCCCAUCCAAUAUGUAUUAGAAAAGCUAGAAGCUGUAUUGCCUUCAAACCUCCUACACCAUCUAUCACGGAUCUGACCUUCAUACCUCAGUUUAAUAGAAGCAGCUGGGAACAGCAUUCUUCAUCACCGACUUUCGAUAUCUACACAUCCUGCGUCAUAUAUUUUUGUUUAAGUAUUUGUCAAAACUAGCUACUGUGAGCGUUGGUUAUUGUGAUAAAACUACUACCUGCUUCUGAAGCUUUUAGUUUUAAUGAUGUAAACCUCACGUUCCAGUUGCUUAUUUUGUCACACCAGUGUUGUGAUUUGCUGUUUAGAGCCAUAAAUAGUACUUAAAUGAUGCUUGUGUUGAUUUUUUUUUCUAUAGGGAGGAAAAACAUAAAUGGCUCAAACCGGAGAUGUUGGUGGCCAAUGCACAAAACAAUCACAUAAAUUUAUUUUAGGAAUACCUGUAUUAAUAAAAUGACAAGGUUUGAAUGGAAGUUUAUAAAUAAAGACUUAUUUAGUAGUUUGUGCACCAAUACCUCAGUUAUUGGGGACCUGCACAACCACUGGGAUCAGAUAAAUCCAGUACAUCAGAUCAUAAUAUUAUGUGUACUUCAUGGUUUAUAUACUGUACCUGUAAUCCAUGAUUUAUGAAAAGUUCUGAUAUUCUGGGUAAUCAAGAUUUUAAAUGAGUAAUUUCCAAAUUUUUGAGUUACUGGCGUGAUAUACAAGUGGCCUCAACCAAGAUGGAAACAUUAAAUAGUUGAUUUUUUUUUCCAGUUAGUUUUUGAAUAAGGAGUCAUUUCAUUGUCAUUGCUGUGUUUGGUAUAUGCACUGUGUCAAAUAAUACCAGAACUACUAGGAACAGUGUUCAUAUUUCAGUGAUAAAUUUUAAUAAAAGAACAGCUUGGAAACAUAAUAUACAGGUACACUGUACACUUUGUGUAUUUAUGUAGACUUAUGUAUAGAACACUCCAAGAUAGAAAUGUGCAAAUAUUUGUUUAACUGGAUUCUGAGUACAAACAAGACUUAAGGAUUAAGCAGGGAUAUUGAGUUUAUGUGAUGUAAUUUAUAUGCUUUUUUUUCUGAUUGUUACUCAACAGUUUGGUAAAUAUGUUUUUGUUUUAAAUUAUGAAAGAAGAAGCAAACAUGUUAAUGAUGGUUGCAUUGCUUAUGUUCUCAUUUUAUUAAGUUCAGGUACUGUUCCUUUCCCUCUGGCUAAAAUGCAUGUAUGCAAAUACCUGUAUAACAUACUACCUGGUAAUUGUAAAUGAAGAUUUCCACUCACUCUUUAUCUAAUACUUACUUAAAAAGGUUUGCGAAACUUGAGAUUGUAUACUUUUGGUGGUAUAUUUUUUUAAGUUAUUUUCAUGACAGAAUCUUUUUAAACUAAUGGUGCCUCAAGAUUUAUGUUGUCCAAUAUCUUGUGUAUAUUACUUAGGUCAGAUCCAGAUGGCCUGCAGUAAUGAAUUUCCACUCCUCCAUGAUUUAUGAAGCUUCCAAGAUCUGAAGGUUGAUAUACACUAAUAUCUUGAUUAUCUGGGAUACAACUAAACAGACUGUUGAAUGUCUCAGAUAUCAGAUUCCGGAUAGAUGACUUAAGAUAUUGUAAUUAAUGACAUGCUGAAUUACAUAUAUAAAAUGAUGUGAUAUUAAAGAUUUGAUGUCUCUGAUACUCAAUAAUCUUGUUUGAGACCCCUCACAAAUGAAGUAUUGGUGUACAUUUUUUUGUGACAAUUGUGCAUCUUGUACAUUAAACUGACAAAUUAUUUAAUGAAUUUAGUUUUGCAUUA
Molecule: unclassified non-coding RNA, 3549 nt
Filed under: Homarus americanus (American lobster)
Lineage: Eukaryota; Metazoa; Arthropoda; Malacostraca; Decapoda; Nephropidae
Description: protein ST7 homolog, transcript variant X2
Source: RNAcentral